CACCCGGAGCCUCGUUCGCGGAUAAUACGUCAACAUGCACCCGACCAGUACACGAGGAGCACUGCCCCGAGACGUGACGUGUGGGGUAAUACCCGGGCGUUCCUUCAUUUAUCGGUGAGGAGAACUGUAGGCUGUGUUCUGUACCGGUGCGGGUUGUCCAUUACACUUCAUUCAAGGUGCCCGUUUUCCCCGUGGGGAUGAAGACCUUCUACUUGGGCGUGGCCACAGUGCUGGCCGGGCUGUGUCUAGCGCUUAUGUGUGACGCUGAACCUCACCGCCGUCUCAGGCUGAGAAUAUCUUCCCGGCGCAAUAAAUGACAAGCUUCAACAGAUCCAACACCAGCGACUGCACAUCAGGCCUCUACCAGCUAUAAUCCUUGGCUGAACUGGGCUACUACCACUCAAUCGUAUAACAGUACCUCCUGUUCCCAAACUCUAUCUGGUACGGAGGGAAGUUUCAGCAGCCCUGGAGCGGGAGCGGGAGCGUCGUACUCUGGCAACCUUGACUGCCUCUACACCAUUCCCUCACCACCACCAGGGAGCCUAAUUGACAUAACAUUCAUGCUGUUCCAACUGGAGGACCAUUCCUCUUGCGACUAUGACUACGUCAAGUUCUCCUACACCCGCCAGAAGAUCUGUGGAAUCAAGACCACGCCUCUGUAAUUCUCCUUUACAUCCCUGGAGACGGACUUCAAGAUAUACUUCCACUCUGACGGUUCAGUUCAUCAUCCUGGUUUUCUUGCAGCAUUUAGGAUUCGAGAAAGGCUGAACCGGACUGCAACCACUCCGUGGUAUUACAGGACCACAACCCCUUUCAAUUCAUUCACGAACACCUUCACCUUAUACUUCAAGACAGACUACAGCGUUACUAGGAGAGGAUUCUCCAUUAAUUACAGGAC
RNAcentral lists this long non-coding RNA (898 nucleotides) under Haliotis rufescens (red abalone). Its description in RNAcentral is "uncharacterized LOC124125997, transcript variant X3". Lineage: Eukaryota; Metazoa; Mollusca; Gastropoda; Lepetellida; Haliotidae. The record is from RNAcentral.